GUUUGACCUCGGAUCAGGUAGGGUUACCCGCUGAACUUAAGCAUAUCAAUAAGCGGAGGAAAAGAAACCAACAG
RNAcentral lists this ribosomal RNA (74 nucleotides) under Scopulariopsis brevicaulis (arsenic fungus). RNAcentral describes it as "partial 28S ribosomal RNA". It matches the Rfam family "Eukaryotic large subunit ribosomal RNA", at positions 1 to 71 of the family's 3401-position model. Lineage: Eukaryota; Fungi; Ascomycota; Sordariomycetes; Microascales; Microascaceae. The record is from RNAcentral.